GAGUGCUGAUGUUGCAGGCAGAAGUCAUCUACUGUAGAAGCUCGAACGAGGACUUUCUGUUGGGGAAGUCUGGUUUCAUGAAAAAUCCAACAGAGGGUCGACCGACAGUGGACUUUGGAUGGCGUUGUGGAGGUUCAUCCACUGGAGGAGUCUUGAGGACACUGUGAAAGGUCGAACAUUGGAGGAGUCUGGGAUACGAUUCUGCUGUAGAAGUUCGGACGAAGUCCAGCUCUCGUAGGAGUCCGAAAAGAGGUCGC
Molecule: long non-coding RNA, 257 nt
Filed under: Elaeis guineensis (African oil palm)
Lineage: Eukaryota; Viridiplantae; Streptophyta; Magnoliopsida; Arecales; Arecaceae
Description: long non-coding RNA (EGUI_LNC056201)
Source: RNAcentral